UGGGGAGUAGCCAAGCGGAAAGGCAGCGGCCUUUGGAGCCGCCAUCAUAGGUUCGAAUCCUAUCUCCCCAGC
This 72-nucleotide transfer RNA is filed under the name subsurface metagenome. RNAcentral describes it as "tRNA-Gln". It matches the Rfam family "tRNA". From Rfam's summary of the family: Transfer RNA (tRNA) molecules are approximately 80 nucleotides in length. The record is from RNAcentral.